RNAcentral lists this long non-coding RNA (2676 nucleotides) under Malus domestica (apple). RNAcentral's name for it is "long non-coding RNA (MDOM_LNC005464)". Lineage: Eukaryota; Viridiplantae; Streptophyta; Magnoliopsida; Rosales; Rosaceae. The record is from RNAcentral.
ACUGUUAACUACAUUGUAAUAUUUGGGAAUUGAAAGAAAAUCAAGAAGAAAGAUGAAGAGAAGAAGGAUCAACACAGAGAGUUUUAGAGAGAGAGAGAGAGAUUUAGAGAGAAAUAUGUUUUUGUAUUGAUUGAUAGAAUGAAGGUUACAUAACUGUUUUUAUAAGAGAAAGCCUAACUACUCUAACCAACUUACUAACUGUACUGUAUUACAUUUGUACCCUUAAUACUCCCCCUCAAUCUCAACUGGGUUAACCCAGUUUGAGAUUGGAAAAACAUCUACAAUCACUGAACACAAUGUUGAACCAUCUGCAAUCUUGCAAUCCCACAGCAAAGUCUCAUGAGCAACUCUGUUGACACACCAAAUUCCUUAUCGAAAACCUUGGUCCUGCCAACCAUAGCCACUUCCAAAGCAGCAACCCUCUCUGCGAACUUGAAUCUUUUGACAUCACAUUGCUUUUGCCUCCAACAUGUCCAUCAUUGUUUAGCAUCACUUUGCUAUUGAGUCAAACUUCUCCAGCAUUGAUUGGCAUCACUAAACUGCGCAAUUUCAUAUUGGUUCUUUCCAAAGAAUUUCAGCCCCACAAACUGAUGUCUACACCUCUGUAGCUACUGCAAACCAAAUAGAAGAGCAGCCUCUUAUAAAAUUGUAACACAUCCUCAGGCCGGUUAUAACAAUUUCUUACGGAAUUACCCUUCGUGGGAUUUACCGUCAACAACUUCUUUUAACAAUGGCUUCGUGCCCACAAUCAAAACUAAUUACUAACGGCUUCGUGCCAACAAAUUUCAACUUCUAAUGGCUUCGUGCCAACAAUCUUCAAGUACUAAUGGCUUCAUGUCCAUUUCUAAUGGCUUUCUGCCAAUACUAAACCACACUACACUAAUGUCCACGGGAUCGCCCUUUGUGGAUUUACCAAUUCACAACACUACCUAUUCAUAACAUGGAAUUACCCUUCGUGGGAUUUACCAUUAACAACUUCUUCUACCCUUCGUGGGAUUUACCUAUUCACAUCACGGAAUUACCCUUCGUGGGAUUUACCCUUAGCAACUUAUUCAAACUUCAUCGUAUAACCGGACUUACUGUAGAUUCAUGCUAACAAUUGAGUUGGUUAGACUCGACAUUAUAGGUUGUGAUAAGAAAAAAAAAAAUAUUGCACAAACUUCUCAAUUAACUCAUGAACAAUCUUCCAUUCAGCAGUCAACACAAUCUAUGCUUCAGCAGCAUCCACAGUCAGUUCUCUGGGGUCCAAUUUCAGGAUCCUUCAGUUUCCUAUUGUUUGACAUCACCUUUGCAGGUCUUACUCUCCACCAUUCAAGACAUAAUUGCUGAAACAGUAAGGGAACACUAUAUUUUGCAAUAAAUCCAAAACCUGCAGAGAGUAAAUUACCAAGUAUGUUCCUUCUUCAUCGAUUUCCAAAACAUUUUUGAGCAAUGGGAAAGAGGAAGUCAUUAGCAAAACCGCCUCCUAAGAAUCGGAAUGACAAGCUUGAUACCGUCUUCAACUGUCCAUUUUGCAGCCAUGGCACUAGUGUUGAAUGCCGCAUUGACAUGAAGAACUUGAAUGGGAAAGCUCCUUGUAGAAUAUGCCAAGAAAGCUUCAGCACCACCAUCACAGCUUUAUCUGAACCAAUAGACGUCUACAGCGAAUGGAUUGAUGAAAGCGAAGCAGGUGCAGUCACAGCACCAAGCCAAAUAUUCCAAAUAUCACAAACACUGAUCUUGAAGCAAUGACCAAUCUUGAAUCCAAAUAUCACAAAAUAAAGAAUCUUGAAAGCAAAUAUCACAAACAACUGGAAGAACCCAGAAAAGAUUCACAAGAAAGAUGGCUCUGAUUACUUUGCUAAAAAACUUAACCUUCACAUGAAAAUUCUGAGCUGGGCAUUUCGACAAACACUUGGACUACACAAAGGUCUAAACUUUCUUCCACACCAAAGAGUAGAGCACAGAUCAAAUUCGCGGACAAUAUCGAAAGCACUGAAGAAAACAUACCAUAAAUUGAUGACCAGAAGCAGUAUAAGCCUAUAAGUGCACCAAUGCAAUGACCUUCGCAUGGAAAGAUUGCAUACUAUCAGGUACAGAACUAUGGAAUACAGCGGCAACAGCCCCAGAUCGAAAGUAGAGGGGGCAAUUAUUACGGAUUGCAGUGGCAUGACAACCCAGAGACAAUGCUCGACGGUGGUGAAGGAGCAAUGGUCGUCGUCUUCCUCUCAAAGCAUCGACACUUAUUUGACAUUCCAUCUUCUUUCGAGGUGAAGAACUUGAUGAAAAUCUGAAAAAUUCCCGAAUUCAAGAACAGAAAAUUCGAGAAUAGAAAAUCAACCUAGAAGUUAUAGGAUGAUCGCGGAAGCACCGAAGAACUUGACGGAAUUUCUGACGAAAAUCCGAAGAGAAAAUAAAACUAGAACAUGAAAUCUAAUACAAAACAGAACCACCAGAAUCAUGGCGUGAGCCUGGUAGCUCUGAUACCAUGUUAACUACAUUGUAAUAUUUGGGAAUUGAAAGAAAAUCAAGAAGAAAGAUGAAGAGAAGAAGGAUCAACACAGAGAGUUUUAGAGAGAGAGAGAGAAAUUUAGAGAGAAAUAUGUUUUUGUAUUGAUUGAUAGAAUGAAGGUUACAUAACUGUUUUUAUAAGAGAAAGCCUAACUACUCUAACCAACUUACUAACUGUACUGUAUU